This 505-nucleotide ribosomal RNA is filed under the name uncultured bacterium. Its description in RNAcentral is "partial 16S ribosomal RNA". It matches the Rfam family "Bacterial small subunit ribosomal RNA", at positions 29 to 523 of the family's 1533-position model. The record is from RNAcentral.
AGUGAACGCUGGCGGUAGGCCUAACACAUGCAAGUCGAACGGCAGCACAGGAGAGCUUGCUCUCUGGGUGGCGAGUGGCGGACGGGUGAGGAAUACAUCGGAAUCUACUCUGUCGUGGGGGAUAACGUAGGGAAACUUACGCUAAUACCGCAUACGACCUACGGGUGAAAGCAGGGGACCUUCGGGCCUUGCGCGAUUGAAUGAGCCGACGUCGGAUUAGCUAGUUGGCGGGGUAAAGGCCCACCAAGGCGACGAUCCGUAGCUGGUCUGAGAGGAUGAUCAGCCACACUGGAACUAAGACACGGUCCAGACUCCUACGGGAGGCAGCAGUGGGGAAUAUUGGACAAUGGGCGCAAGCCUGAUCCAGCCAUACCGCGUGGGUGAAGAAGGCCUUCGGGUUGUAAAGCCCUUUUGUUAGAAAGAAAUCCAGCUGGCUAAUACCCGGUUGGGAUGACGGUACCCAAAGAAUAAGCACCGGCUAACUUCGUGCCAGCCGCCGCCGUAA